ACUACUCAAUUUCAAACCCUUUGUUGUGGUUUGAAAUUGGAUUUGGGUGUUGUUGUUGCGGGAAAACGACUCAUCCUAAAUGCAUUAGUGAUCUUGCCACUGAUCAUGAACAAUGUGAUAAGAAAAAGCAUUGUUGAGAUUGGAGGUUGGGGUUGCUUCUAACCGUCGAAAGACAAAAACGCAUAUAUGCGGU
RNAcentral lists this unclassified non-coding RNA (193 nucleotides) under uncultured Geastrum. Its description in RNAcentral is "sequence contains ITS2". Lineage: Eukaryota; Fungi; Basidiomycota; Agaricomycetes; Geastrales; Geastraceae. The record is from RNAcentral.